This 465-nucleotide ribosomal RNA is filed under the name uncultured bacterium. RNAcentral's name for it is "partial 16S ribosomal RNA". It matches the Rfam family "Bacterial small subunit ribosomal RNA", at positions 339 to 795 of the family's 1533-position model. The record is from RNAcentral.
CUACGGGAUGCAGCAGUGAGGAAUUUUGCGCAAUGGGGGUAACCCUGACGCAGCAACGCCGCGUGAGUGAUGAAGGCUUUCGGGUCGUAAAGCUCUGUCAAGUGGGAAGAAUAUACGAAAUGCUAAUACCAUUUUGUACUGACGGUACCACUGAAGGAAGCACCGGCUAACUCCGUGCCAGCAGCCGCGGUAAUACGGGGGGUGCAAGCGUUAUUCGGAAUUAUUGGGCGUAAAGAGCACGUAGGCGGCCGCUUAAGUCAGAUGUGAAAGCCCGGGGCUCAACCCCGGAAGUGCAUUUGAAACUAAGUGGCUUGAGUAUGGGAGAGGGAAGUGGAAUUCCUGGUGUAGAGGUGAAAUUCGUAGAUAUCAGGGGGAACACCGGUGGCGAAGGCGACUUCCUGGACCAAUACUGACGCUGAGGUGCGAAGGCGUGGGGAGCAAACAGGAUUAGAUACCCCUGUAGUC